This 125-nucleotide non-coding RNA is filed under the name Selenihalanaerobacter shriftii. RNAcentral describes it as "MoCo sequence". It matches the Rfam family "Molybdenum/Tungsten riboswitch aptamer (Moco RNA motif)". The record is from Rfam by way of RNAcentral. Lineage: Bacteria; Bacillati; Bacillota; Clostridia; Halanaerobiales; Halobacteroidaceae.
UUGAUUAGUUAUCUUCGAAUUAAGAUUGCCUAAAGGAGCAAGGUCUAUGGUGUCUUAAAUGCGAUAGGGUAUGAUGCGAAAGGAUUAUGCCUCCUAAGUUGGAAAGGAGAUAGUAAUAUUUAAAU